UAGUUAUAUUUUGGGCUGAGCGCAGCCUGGCCUGCCCGAUAAACAGGUUUAGUCAUGAUUGAUACUAGAAUGCAUCUGCCUCCUACCUCCUGCAGUCCCAUGUCUCCAAUAUUAAUGUGAAUAGUUAUAUAAUGAAAAUCAGAUUGUUUUUUAUCUUAUUAAACACUUGAAGCUACAAAAUUUUAUACCAUUAGGUAGAAUAGCAUGACACAAGUAGCAGAUGAAAUCAAUAAUUAACAUAUAAACCUGUCGGGCAUGCUAAUUGUUUCUAUCACUGAAAAAGGGGGAGGAAAGAAAAAGAAAAGCUUUCAACUCCCUGAGGAACAGCAUUAUCAGAUAGAAGGGUUUGAACAAUUGUGUGUAAUAGUGGUAGUUGUGACCUUGGUAAACAUUGUUGCCAAUCAGGGCCCCAUUCGUAUAUGAUUUUAAUGGUCAUGCAAUUGCUUUCUGAUCCCCAACUUUUUAAACCAAGGAUCAAGUGAUUCUAUUAGCUUUGUUAACCUACAAGUUUGCCUUUUUCUGUCAUGCAAUAUUAUUUUCUUCAAAAAUUCUAUUUGCU
This 559-nucleotide long non-coding RNA is filed under the name Phoenix dactylifera (date palm). RNAcentral describes it as "long non-coding RNA (PDAC_LNC021688)". The record is from RNAcentral. Lineage: Eukaryota; Viridiplantae; Streptophyta; Magnoliopsida; Arecales; Arecaceae.